GCAAGUUGAUGAAGAUCAAAUCUUUAGGAAAAUGUAUAGAUGAACAUGUGAAUUAUCCUAACUAUGAAAAGAUUUGUGCUAAAGGUUAUGAAACAACAACAGACGAAAUUAUCGAAGACUGCAGUAAGCAGUGUCAACUAGCAUGCCAAGAGAACUCAUACAAAAUGGUAUAUGAAGAGCUAGGUUCUGAGGAAGAUAAAGUAAGACGCAUAUUUUAAUUUCUACAAGCCUAUAUAGCUUAAAAACGACGAUUAGCAGCCAAUUUCAG
Parasteatoda tepidariorum (common house spider) is the source of this 268-nucleotide non-coding RNA. NCBI's taxonomy places the organism in Eukaryota, Metazoa, Arthropoda, Arachnida, Araneae, Theridiidae. The record is from RefSeq and is a predicted model, not a curated record.